UUUGGUUCAGUCAAAAAAAAAAAAUAAAAAAAAAAAUUGGACUACUCACGUGGCGAAACGUGUCCAGCAAACUACAAUAGAAGGUUGUUGACUUUUGUUGACCGAUUUGGGUAUGAAGAAUGAUAAGCCACCUUAAAGUUGGGAUUAUUGAAAAAUAAUUCAAAGUUGGGAUUAAUGAAACUAAAUUGGUAAAAGUUGGGAUUAAAAAACAGUAUUAAUCCUUUUUUUUUUUUUAUUGUUUUUGAAACCUCACUGUACUACUACUCGAUAGGUUAAAGUUAUUCUACGACAAGUUGAUUAUAAUAAUAUAUAACUGAGUCUCUUGAUUAUUUGCAGAAGAAUAGCAAUUACUUAUCUCUCUCUCUCUUUUUUUUUUUUUUUUUUUUUUGAGGAGAAUGUAUUUAGUACGUAGUGUUAACUUACAAUGACAAGUUAGUUGAUCAUAUUUCUCUGUAUUCAAAGAUUUAGUUGUAAUAGAAAUAAUCUCAAUAAUUGAUUAACGGAGAAGUUUCCAAAUAUCUACGUCUAUAGGCCACCCAGGUAAGAAAAAGACAAAAGGAUAUAUAGUUUAUACUCUUUACUACAAGUUCAAGGAUGUUGAUCCAUCUCAAAUCCAACAUGCUAUUCGACUAAUUCGGGAAAGUUCACAUGUACACCAAAUGAGAUGGUGCGUCUAGUGAUAAAGACAGCGUUACGCAUGUCGAGCACGGUACUGGUUGCGCGGCUGCUUGCGGUGGUGGUUGUGGAGGCUGAAUCCAGUCUUACUGUUGUAACUAUACGAAGUACAAAGAAAAAAAAUUACAGUAUAGUAGCUUCCUUUCUUUUGUAAUUGUGAGAGGUUGCUCAUUGAUACAGUGAUUAUUCUUGUACGAUGUACUAUUUACUAUUUGGAAAAAAACUUGUUCAUGGAAUAAAAUUGGAAAAAUUUAAUGUAA
Molecule: long non-coding RNA, 935 nt
Organism: Chenopodium quinoa (quinoa)
Lineage: Eukaryota; Viridiplantae; Streptophyta; Magnoliopsida; Caryophyllales; Amaranthaceae
Exons: 2
Source: RefSeq, a predicted model, not a curated record